RNAcentral lists this ribosomal RNA (253 nucleotides) under uncultured prokaryote. Its description in RNAcentral is "partial 16S ribosomal RNA". It matches the Rfam family "Bacterial small subunit ribosomal RNA", at positions 525 to 777 of the family's 1533-position model. The record is from RNAcentral.
ACGAAGGGUGCAAGCGUUACUCGGAAUUACUGGGCGUAAAGCGUGCGUAGGUGGUUCGUUAAGUCUGAUGUGAAAGCCCACGGCUCAACCGUGGAGGGUCAUUGGAAACUGGGGGACUUGAGUGCAGAAGAGGAAAGCGGAAUUCCACGUGUAGCGGUGAAAUGCGUAGAGAUGUGGAGGAACACCAGUGGCGAAGGCGGCUUUCUGGUCUGUAACUGACGCUGAGGCGCGAAAGCGGGGGGAGCAAACAGGA